GAUGAACUAAUGCGAAAGCAUUUAUCAAGGAUGUUUUCAUGUGAUCAAGAACGAAAGAAAAGGGAUCAAAGACGAUCAGAUACCGUUGUAAUCUUUCUGUCUGUAAACGAUGCCGACCAAGGAUGGGAAGCCCAAAUUGACUGAAAUAUUGUCAAUCGGUUGCUAAUGUCCUUCAAGUGACGCGAGUCGUCUUUUUUUUUUUUAAACGAGAAAGAAAGUGGUUCGAUAGUUUGAAGGUAAUGCCCUUUCCCGAACUUUGUGAGAAAUCAUUGAGUCUUCUGGUUCUGGGGGAAGUAUGGUCGCAAGACUGAAACUUAAAGAAAUUGACGGAAUGAUACACCAGACGUGGAACCUGCGGCUUAAUUCGACCCAACACGUGGAAACUCACUAGGUUAGGACAAGCGAAGGAUUGACAGAUUGAAAGCUCUUUCUUGAUUGUUUGGGUGGUGGUGCAUGGUCGUUGUUGGUUGGUGGUUUGAACUGUCUUCUUAAUUGAGAUAACGAACGAGACCUUUGCGCUUAAAUCUAGGUUGAUGAUAGAUUAAUUUUUUGGGGUAAUGCUCAGAGUAUGAGGGUGAAGGUAAGCGGUUAUAUCAUGACAGAGGUAAAACUUUGCUAUGGUGUAACUUUCCUUUGUCCAUACUUACUAGUCUAUCACUCAAGGUGUUAUUUAAGAUUGAUGUUAAAAAGUUAGUCUUGGGUAAUAUCAUUUGAAAAAAUUCCUUCUUAAGCGGACUAUUAUUUAAAAUCAUUAAAACCGAUUUUAAAAAUUUUUUGGUGUUAAACCAAAGGAAGUUAAAGGCAAUAACAGGUCUGUGAUGCCCUUAGAUAUCUUAGGCCGCACGCGCGUUACACUGCUAGUUUCAAAGAGUAGUUGAAAAGAUUUGUUUAAUCUUAUGAUGGUUUCACGAUCAUUGUAGGGUUCGUCUUUUUUUCAUCCUUGUUCGAAAGGACUGGGUAAUCUUAAAGAACUACUAGCGUGAUGGGAAUAGCCGGUUGCAAUUAUCCGGCUUGAACGAGGAAUUUCUAGUAAUCGUAGUUCAUCAGACUGCGAUGACUAAGUCCCUGUCCUUUGUACACACCGCCCGUCGCUGCUUCCGAUUGAAUGAAGUGGUGAACACUUUGGAGAAAAUGUUUUUUUUUUCUGUCAAAGGAAAAAAGAAAAUAAAUUUUAAAAAGUUUCGAAGUUGUGUAAACCCUUUCAUUUAGAGGAAGCAGAAGUCGUAACAAGGUUUCCGU
RNAcentral lists this ribosomal RNA (1239 nucleotides) under uncultured soil eukaryote. RNAcentral describes it as "partial small subunit ribosomal RNA". It matches the Rfam family "Eukaryotic small subunit ribosomal RNA", at positions 934 to 1806 of the family's 1831-position model. The record is from RNAcentral.